Salvia miltiorrhiza (redroot sage) is the source of this 811-nucleotide long non-coding RNA. RefSeq lists it as uncharacterized. The transcript has 3 exons. The record is from RefSeq and is a predicted model, not a curated record. NCBI's taxonomy places the organism in Eukaryota, Viridiplantae, Streptophyta, Magnoliopsida, Lamiales, Lamiaceae.
UUCUUUGAUCAGUUUUCGUAGCAUCCAAGCUAUAUUAAUCAAAAGUCUUGGAUCACUAUCCUUCAACGCCAUAGUCUUUUAUUUUUAUCCUCAGCUAUCACCAGCUCACCGCCAUGUUUUCAUAUAUAUCAGAUUCAUCAUUCAUCACUUUCCUAUACUGCCUGUAUAAUUUUCAAAACUCAAGCAAGAAUCAUGUCUUCGUCUUUCACUGCGCAUCUUCAAAAUGGUGCGGCGCGACUAGGACAUGGAUUUUAAUUUGAAUUAUCAGAGUUAGCAUUCAAGUUCAAGUUUAAGUUAUAUCGCUAGGGGCCCGCUCAAUGGGUCCAGGACUUCACCGUCCUUGGUAUGCCACAAUGCGAUUUCAUGUUACAGUAAGGGUUGCAACCUAUUCGCCAGGGGCCCGCUCAAUGGGUCCAGGACAUUAAAGUCCUUGGUAUGCCACCGUGCGAAUUUCAGUUAUCAGUACAGUGCAGUGCGUAUGUGUUGACCAUUUUAUUAACGUGGACAAUGAUUGCAUGUUUCCCACACUGAGUAUAUUCUGUAUGCUCAUCCCAUAUUAAACAUUUUCAUGUAUUUUUUUUUACGUUGGAGACGCGUGGAAGGUCGAAUGGGCGCAUCAAGUCAUUUAUCAAGUAGUUGAUUUGAUUUUUCAACUAAUUUAAGUAUUUAAAGUUUUGCUUAGCACAAUUUUUACUUAAUACUUAGGUAUUUUGAUGACAUCAUUAUGUCAUGCUUUGAAACAAGAGAUUAAUUGUCGAUUUUAACUCAAAGUUAGUCUUUGAGUAUAUUAUUUAAAAGUUGAUAUCCUUUU